CAAUCUCCAAACUUAAUCUAAGUUCAGAUUGUAGGCUGCAACUCGUCUACAUGAAGUUGGAAUCGCUAGUAAUCGCUGGUCAGCAGUACAGCGGUGAAUUCGUCCCUGGGCCUUGUACACACCGCCCGUCACACCAUGGAAGUUGGUCAGGCUGGAAACUAAUAUUAAAUUAGUAGUUAAGGUGGGGCAAGCGACUGGGGUGAAGUCGUAACAAGGUAGCCGUACUGGAAGGA
RNAcentral lists this ribosomal RNA (233 nucleotides) under Karlodinium veneficum. RNAcentral describes it as "small subunit ribosomal RNA". It matches the Rfam family "Bacterial small subunit ribosomal RNA", at positions 1269 to 1513 of the family's 1533-position model. The record is from RNAcentral. Lineage: Eukaryota; Dinophyceae; Gymnodiniales; Kareniaceae.